Molecule: long non-coding RNA, 472 nt
Organism: Maniola jurtina (meadow brown)
Lineage: Eukaryota; Metazoa; Arthropoda; Insecta; Lepidoptera; Nymphalidae
Exons: 3
Source: RefSeq, a predicted model, not a curated record
CUGGGAAGCCAUAUUGUUUAUUGUUGUUGUCUCCAAAGGUUAAUAAAUUAUGGGAAUUGUGGUGAUCCCAAUUGAUUCCUGUAAAUAUAGGACUCAGUACUUUGCCGAAGGCUCAAUUGUUGAACAGACACGUAUGCCAGAAGCACUUCGAUAGACAUCAGUUCGACAGUAUGGGGUGGUAUGGGUACCCGACGUACGCAUGGUUAUCUCUACUUGUUUACUGAAAAGGAAAAUACUUCACGGAAUUCCUGAGCUCAUUAGCUGAACAUGAUUUCAGUGAUCACAAUUUUAUCAUGCUUUACAACCAACUUCAGUUCAACAGAGUUCAACAUUCAGAAGAUUCAACAGUAUCCACUCAAAGUACAAUAAUAAUAAUAAUUAGUGCCAAUUUGACAACCAAGUGUAGGUAUUUUAUUAAAAGAAUAAAGGAAAUGUUUAUCAAAGAAAACAAGAAGCAAAGGCUAUUUUCAGA